UGGGGAAUUUUGGACAAUGGGCGAAAGCCUGAUCCAGCAAUGCCGCGUGUGUGAAGAAGGCCUUCGGGUUGUAAAGCACUUUUGUCCGGAAAGAAAUCCUUGGCUCUAAUACAGUCGGGGGGAUGACGGUACCGGAAGAAUAAGCACCGGCUAACUACGUGCCAGCAGCCGCGGUAAUACGUAGGGUGCAAGCGUUAAUCGGAAUUACUGGGCGUAAAGCGUGCGCAGGCGGUUUGCUAAGACCGAUGUGAAAUCCCCGGGCUCAACCUGGGAACUGCAUUGGUGACUGGCAGGCUAGAGUAUGGCAGAGGGGGGUAGAAUUCCACGUGUAGCAGUGAAAUGCGUAGAGAUGUGGAGGAAUACCGAUGGCGAAGGCAGCCCCCUGGGCCAAUACUGACGCUCAUGCACGAAAGCGUGGGGAGCAAACAGGAUUAGAUACCCUGGUAGUCCACGCCCUAAACGAUGUCAACUAGUUGUUGGGGAUUCAUUUCCUAGUAACGUAGCUAACGCGUGAAGUUGACCGCCUGGGGAGUACGGUCGCAAGAUU
This 547-nucleotide ribosomal RNA is filed under the name uncultured bacterium. Its description in RNAcentral is "partial 16S ribosomal RNA". It matches the Rfam family "Bacterial small subunit ribosomal RNA", at positions 355 to 895 of the family's 1533-position model. The record is from RNAcentral.